AUUGAACGCUGGCGGCAGGCCUAACACAUGCAAGUCGAACGGUAACAGGAAACAGCUUGCUGUUUCGCUGACGAGUGGCGGACGGGUGAGUAAUGUCUGGGAAACUGCCUGAUGGAGGGGGAUAACUACUGGAAACGGUAGCUAAUACCGCAUAACGUCGCAAGACCAAAGAGGGGGACCUUCGGGCCUCUUGCCAUCUGAUGUGCCCAGAUGGGAUUAGCUAGUAGGUGGGGUAACGGCUCACCUAGGCGACGAUCCCUAGCUGGUCUGAGAGGAUGACCAGCCACACUGGAACUGAGACACGGUCCAGACUCCUACGGGAGGCAGCAGUGGGGAAUAUUGCACAAUGGGCGCAAGCCUGAUGCAGCCAUGCCGCGUGUAUGAAGAAGGCCUUCGGGUUGUAAAGUACUUUCAGCGGGGAUGAAGGGAGUAAAGUUAAUACCUUUGCUCAUUGACGUUACCCGAAGAAGAAGCACCGGCUAACUCCGUG
RNAcentral lists this ribosomal RNA (490 nucleotides) under uncultured bacterium. RNAcentral describes it as "partial 16S ribosomal RNA". It matches the Rfam family "Bacterial small subunit ribosomal RNA", at positions 30 to 507 of the family's 1533-position model. The record is from RNAcentral.